This 76-nucleotide ribosomal RNA is filed under the name Lepidorhombus whiffiagonis (megrim). Lineage: Eukaryota; Metazoa; Chordata; Actinopteri; Pleuronectiformes; Scophthalmidae. The record is from RNAcentral.
UCGGAAGCUAAGAUAGGUUGGGCCUGGUUAGUACUUGGAUGGGAGACCGCCUGGGAAUACCUGGUGCUGUAAGCUU